UACGUAGGGUGCAAGCGUUAAUCGGAAUUACUGGGCGUAAAGCGUGCGCAGGCGGUUCGCUAAGUCAGGUGUGAAAUCCCCGGGCUUAACCUGGGAACUGCAUUUGUGACUGGCGGGCUAGAGUAUGGCAGAGGGGGGUAGAAUUCCACGUGUAGCAGUGAAAUGCGUAGAGAUGUGGAGGAAUACCGAUGGCGAAGGCAGCCCCCUGGGCCAAUACUGACACUGAGGAGCGAAAGCGUGGGGAGCGAACAGG
RNAcentral lists this ribosomal RNA (253 nucleotides) under uncultured bacterium. RNAcentral's name for it is "partial 16S ribosomal RNA". It matches the Rfam family "Bacterial small subunit ribosomal RNA", at positions 524 to 776 of the family's 1533-position model. The record is from RNAcentral.